This 54-nucleotide small nuclear RNA is filed under the name Schizosaccharomyces pombe (fission yeast). Lineage: Eukaryota; Fungi; Ascomycota; Schizosaccharomycetes; Schizosaccharomycetales; Schizosaccharomycetaceae. The record is from RNAcentral.
UUGUAAGUAACAAUAUUUACCAAGGCUUGAGCUAUACUAACCUGUUGUUUAGAG